GUCCGGCUAGCUCAAUUGGAAGAGCGUUCACUUUGAUUUAUAGGAAUUCACCGAAUGGUUGCAAGUUCGAGUCUUGCGCUGGGCC
This is a non-coding RNA of Astrocystis sublimbata, 85 nucleotides long. Lineage: Eukaryota; Fungi; Ascomycota; Sordariomycetes; Xylariales; Xylariaceae. The record is from the annotation of a GenBank genome assembly.